GAUGAACGCUAGCUACAGGCUUAACACAUGCAAGUCGAGGGGAAACGGCAUUGAGUGCUUGCACUCUUUGGACGUCGACCGGCGCACGGGUGAGUAACGCGUAUCCAACCUUCCCAUUACUGUGGGAUAACCUGCCGAAAGGCAGACUAAUACCGCAUAGUCUUCGAUGACGGCAUCAGAUUUGAAGUAAAGAUUUAUCGGUAAUGGAUGGGGAUGCGUCUGAUUAGCUUGUUGGCGGGGUAACGGCCCACCAAGGCGACGAUCAGUAGGGGUUCUGAGAGGAAGGUCCCCCACAUUGGAACUGAGACACGGUCCAAACUCCUACGGGAGGCAGCAGUGAGGAAUAUUAGUCAAUGAACGGAAGUCUGAACCAGCCAAGUAGCGUGCAGGAUGACGGCCCUAUGGGUUGUAAACUGCUUUUGUAUGGGGAUAAAGUUAGGGACGUGUCCCUAUUUGCAGGUACCAUACGAAUAAGGACCGGCUAAUUCCGUG
Molecule: ribosomal RNA, 492 nt
Filed under: uncultured bacterium
Lineage: Bacteria
Description: partial 16S ribosomal RNA
Rfam family: Bacterial small subunit ribosomal RNA
Source: RNAcentral